CUAUAAAAGCACCACUCUGUCUCGGCAUGUAUUAUGUAUUUCAAUGGAAUUCAUGUCAUAUGAAGCUGUUCAUUAUUGUGAGUUUAUUCGCAAUCCUUGGAAGUGUGUACAGUUGGUCUCUGGAUAACAUACUAAACACCUGCGGCAAAACAAGACAGUGAUUGGUCAAAUCACUCAGUGUAUCAUCUCGAUCAGGGUAUGGCGAGAACGACAGGAGCUCCAGUUGAAAAUGUGAUAACGAAAUAUUACGAUCUUCUGAAGAGGGGUCUGCAAUGUCUGGAAGAUCUCGAUAUCUGUGUAAUGAAUGACAAUGUAGUUUAUAAUGUAAGCUGUGAGCAAGAUCUUAUCAAUCGAGUGUGUCAGGGAAAAAACUCUUAAAGAGAGUUACAACAAACAGCACGUGCAUGUAGAGACUUUCUAACAACUCUUGGCUGCAUGAAGUGGAUGGUGACAUGAGCCGCGACCACGCAUACAACAAGAUGGUGUUCAGCGAAUCAUGCAUGCAGUGUCUCGUGUAUGAUCUGUCUGGAGGCCAUCUAAAGGUGGCACAUAAUACUACCAGGUAAUAGUGAAUGCCCUCAAGUGCUUGGAAAAUUUGAAAAUCUGUAAGCUAGGCUACGAGCGAAAAAAAGCAAAGCGUUGAAGCAGAGCAAUAUCUUCCAAGCUGGCAUUAAUGUUGUUUGGGGAGAUCAGAAGGAGAUGGUGAGUGAGCUAGUGUCUCGCUUGCAGGCUGACGCACAGCUGGAAUUGGUAUGAUAACACUGCACUUUUAUAUAAUUGAAUCGUUAAUUGACUUUAUGCAUGUGCAAACCAUUAACUAUAGUAGUAUAAUGUAUUACAAUGAUUUGAUUACAUACAUUGAAGAAUUACUUAGCCUCCAUAUGCAACACAUGUUGUGUGCAUGCUACUAGUGUGUGCACUAGAUCGUCAAAUAAAAAGAUCGAAAAAUAAAAAAUUUUGGGAAACACUUUCACUUAACAACAUGAUAUUAUUGCAUUAUAAUUAUAAUUAUAACAUCAUCUGUACAGUAGUAUUAUAAUUAUAUCCAUUGUAAGCACUUCAAGUUCUAUUCUCAACAGGGAAACAAUAGUUAGAUUGGUUUGAAACAAAUUUUCUUGGGAAACAGUUCACUUAACAAACACAAUACAUACAUUAUCUAUAAAUAGUAUUAAUGCUUGCAGAGUAUACGCUUAUCACCAGCUUUCAGCAAGAGAUCGAUCUCUAUACUCACCAGUCAAUAACAAACUCUUCACAGGGAACCAUAUAAACGAUAAUGAAGGUAAUCGUUGGUAUCGCUCUUCUGGCCGCUCUAGGAGGCGUGUGCAGCAAACCAUUCUCGCCCUUCUUACGUUUCCCUAAUCCCUCCAAUAAUGUGGAAACUCAACAAAAUGCAAACCCAUUGUCUGCUAUUCUCCAAAUUGCUAGCUGUGUUUUUUCUAGCUCUGGCUCAGAAAUGACUUUCGACAGGAUUCUCCCGGCCAUUAUGGCAUGUGUUUAUACAAUGGAAACGCCUCUUUUACCCAGCAAAGAAAAAGCCGCCAUUGAGGAAGCUCUGAACGACUUGCUGAAUGAGGAGAUUGUUCAAGAGCUGGAGGAGCAGCAAGUUGCCGAGAUGGAGGACAAUAGCCAGGAAGAAGUGGCUAAUGAACAACGUAAAAAGGAUUUUAAAAAUUUUCUAAAAGAUGUUGGCAAGAUGAUACUUCGGGAAGGUGCUAACAGAAUUGGCUGAGCUGCCCAUACGUAGCUAGUGUCAAGAACACUGAGACAUUUUUGUGUGUGUGUUUCCAUUAGUACGGUAUUAUAAUAUUAUACCUUCAACAGUUGCAGUCAUUAUUCUGUUCAUUUAAUGAUUAUGCUUGUACAAAAUUAAUAGGGAGGGACUUCUUAAUACACUAGUGUAUCUCUAUAGCAUAAAGUAAACUUCCCAUACCCAUGCAUGCGUCUUUGUAGAUCAUGGGUAACUUGAUUAGAAACGUAUUUAUAAGCGCAUGAAUGCAUGCAUUUUAGGCACCUAUAGCAAAAUCCCUUCUGCAGUUUUCCUGAGACCUUAUAUAAUUGAUACUUUGUUGCUGCUGCUCUGCUUGCAUCUCUUGGAGGGUGUCAGUAGGCCCAUGCAGUAAUACUGACAGCUUUACUUCAGAAGUUUCCUUGGAACUUCAUGCCGGUUGUGCCUUGCAGAAGGUUUUAGAAGGAAGGAAGAUGAGCAAAUGAUUCUGUUGCAUCCAUGGUGAGAUUGAGAGUGGGGGAAAAGCUGAUCAGGUUGGGAGUGAUUUAGUGAGGGAGCUAGCUGUUCAUGGCAGCAGGUGGAGGAGGUAGAGGGAGACAAAGCUGAUGAGGUUGGGAGUGAUUUAGUGAGGGAGCUAGCUGUUCAUGGCAGCAGGUGGAGGAGGUGGAGGGAGACAAACUGAGGAACUGGCUAACAAACAGUUUUUUCAUCUAGUUAUAUUGCCGUUCAUUUUUGUGAAGUUGUUUUGUUGAGUCCCAUAUAUAUAAUUUCCAUGUGAUCUGCUCUUGCGUAUCUAUAUACCUUUACCUUAUCUAUAUAGGUAGGGGCAGUCAUGCACGUAUACCUGAAUUCAGUGUAAUAAUAGUAUAUAUGUACAUGUACACUGAAUUCAGGUACAUGUACAUCAAGUCUGACUUACAAAAACACCAUUAAUUACUCAUUAUAGCACUUACGCCCGAUCGAGGGCUGAGAGACACUAUAACCACCAUUGAUACCGAAUGCCCAUGAUAUUUACAAUGCAUUAAUUGUGAAGGCCUUAUGUAAACUCUUUGUGAAAACUCACUAGCUAUCUUGUAAAGUUAAUAACAUUGACGUUGACUCUAUUCAACAGUUAUUUCCCAAGGCUUAUCUAUGACUUUUUGGAAAAUGUUCAGGAAACCGAAACUAAAUACAAGAAAACAUUUCACAAACAUCAAUUUGUCAAGUGACAACAUUGAGAAUUUAUAUACUUCUGCCGAACAAACUCUGUUCAUUUUUUGUGAAAGAAGAUCGAGUCAAGAAUUCAAACGAAGAAUGAAGCUUUACAUUGCUCUUGCUUUGCUCGCUGUGCUUGUGAGUGUGCACAGCAAACCACUCCUCACCGAUCAAGACGAAGAAGAACUGGCUAGAAUCAAUGGAUUCAAAUCUAAAUUCUUUCAGAUCCUGAACACUGCUGGAUGUGCUUUGCAGAAGAUCGGCCGCAGGGAUAAGCCAUCUUAUGAAGUGGAUAUUGAGGGGUUCAACUUGAGGAGGAUUUUGCAAGGCUUUGUCAACUGUCUCCCACCCACUCCCAGACGGCAACCCGAUUAUAUGAAUUCUGCUGAAGAAGAGUUGAAUGAGAUGCUGCAGAAGAUGGCGUUGGAGUUGGAGGAGGAGGUUGCUGCUGUGGAGGAAGACAGUGAGGAGGAAGUGGCAGAGAAGCAGUUUUCCCCGUCUCUUGUUCUUUCAUUUCUCCCAGCAAUACUUGAUAAACUCAAAGGUUGAGUCCCGAACAUAAUAGAGAGGAACAGACUCAUUUUGUAGAUACUAAAAUACUAUAGCUCUUGCUAAAGUGUAAUUAUUAAUUUACUUUGGCAAAGAUGUGGUAUUCAAUAUAAUUAUACAACUGCUGAGAA
Long non-coding RNA from Halichondria panicea, 3600 nucleotides. RefSeq lists it as uncharacterized. Lineage: Eukaryota; Metazoa; Porifera; Demospongiae; Suberitida; Halichondriidae. The transcript has 2 exons. The record is from RefSeq and is a predicted model, not a curated record.